RNAcentral lists this long non-coding RNA (2077 nucleotides) under Mytilus galloprovincialis (Mediterranean mussel). The record is from RNAcentral. Lineage: Eukaryota; Metazoa; Mollusca; Bivalvia; Mytilida; Mytilidae.
CUAUUUUCAACAUAUUUGAACCUAAAAAUCAUCUUGCCAUCUAUUUUGAUGUUUGGAUUCAGCCAUAUGGACUGGGUCAAAAUUUCAGUAUUGUUUUCAGCUUUAAGCUUAUUUUUGUAACUUGGAAAAAUUUACCAGGAUAUCAUGCCAAAAUGGAUUAACUUUUUCUGCUAAAUAAAGUAAACCUUCCUGACUUAAGUGUAAAAUCUUGUCCCCCCCAAAUUUUUGUAUAUAACUAAGUAGCAAGACUUUCCAAGGAGAGUAGUUUUGGGGAUCUAAUAAUUUAUACAGCCAAGACAUUUUUACACUAUAGCAAAAAUAAUAAAUAUUGGGCAUCUUAAGACCACCAUCACAGUGUUCGGACAUUAUCACUGCCCUUUUCACUUUAUCAGGUUUUCCUUUCCAUAAAAAGUUAAAAAAUAUAUUCUGAAUCUCCCUCAAAACCCCUUCUGGGGGGUUAGGAAGGACAGUCAGAACUUGGACCAAAAUGGGAAGUGCUAAAGUCUUAAUAACUACAACCCUCCCAAUAUAUGUCAGUUCCCUAUAAGCCCAAGUAUUGAGUAAUGACUUGAUACUGUUUAUCUUGGCUGUAAAAUUACAUAGAGUUUUAUCCAUUUUAGCAAGUUCAAACCAUAUACCUAGUAGUUUAAACCUCCCAGAAUGGUUCCAAACAAGAUUUUUUUCUGGCAAAAGUUUUUCCAUACUACCCUUUUUUGACCCAAUCCAUACGGCUUCGGUUUUGUCAACAUUACACCUAAGUCCAGCACAUUCUGAAAAUUUAUCAAACAAGUAUAAACACUGAUUUAGGGAUUUUUGGUUACCAUCCAGGACUACGGAAGAAUCAUCAGCGUAUUGACUCAACAGAAAUUCAGAGUCAUUAAUUGUUACACCUGCAACCUCAGGGUCAUUUUUAAUAGCUGCACUUAGUAAUUCUAGCACUAAAAUAAAUAGGUAAGGAGACAGAGGAUCCCCUUGACGGACCCCCCUUUUUAAUGAAAAAAAUUCUGAAAUAUAACCAUUAUUCAACACAGCACUAGAAGCAUCACAGUAGCAAGCCUUAAUCCAAUUUAUAAAUGUAUGGUCAAAUCCAUAAAACUGCAAAGCCUCAUAUAUGAAAGACCAUUCGACUGUGUCGAAAGCUUUUUCAAAAUCGACUAAAAGUAAAAGUCCAGGAAUGUCGUCUUCUUCCAUCUUUUCCAUUAGAUCAUAAAUAAAUCUAGUACAUUCGCCAAUAUACCUACCUUUAAGAAAACCUUUUUGUGUUUGACUAAUUAUAUUUACCAAGACCUUUUUAAAUCUAUUUGCUAGACUGGCUGUAGCUAUCUUAUAGUCUACACACAGCAGUGUGAUAGGUCGCCAGUUCUUAAGAUAAAACUUUGACUUACCCUCCUUUGGUAUACAGGUAAUGAGUCCCUGUCUUUGAGUGAUAGAGAACUUUCCAUACUCUAAAGCCUCAUUUAAACAUCUUACUAGUGGAAAUUUAAUAUCAUUCCAGAAAAAUUUAUAAAACUCAACAGUGAAUCCAUCUAUACCAGGUGAUUUAGAGUUCUUCAUAUGUUUAAGAGAAGACAGACAUUCCUGUACUGAUAAAGGUCCUUCACAUGAUUUCACCUCUUCCUCAAUAGGUUUUGUAAUAAAAGGAUUGUCAUGCUGAAGAAAUGUGCUCCUGUGAGUCUCAAGUAACAAUGGGUUAGAACUAGUAUACAAUUUUUUAUAAAAUUGUUUUUGUUCAUUUCUAAUAAUACAUGGAUCCGUUAUCUCAGAUUCGUCCUCCAGAAUAAGUUUGGGAAUAAUUUUUUCUGUAUAAUGUUUUUUUUCCAAAUUACAAAAAUAGUUACUUCCCUUUUCCCCCUCUACUUGCCAUCUUGCCUUUGCUCUUGUAAUUAUCCCUUUAACAUUUUUUUCUCUUAUUACUUUUAAUUCUAGUUCCAACCCUUCCCUUUCUUGUUGUACUGAUGGCAAGUUAUUCUCUAUGAGUUUUUUUUAUCUAAUAAUGAUAUCUUGUAUAAUAAUUCUUUUUCUUUAUUAUUUUGUUCCUUCUUCCGGAAAAACGAAAAUGAGAUUGCAGAUCCACGAA